RNAcentral lists this long non-coding RNA (1049 nucleotides) under Bos indicus x Bos taurus (hybrid cattle). RNAcentral describes it as "lncRNA (ENSBIXG00005020698.1)". Lineage: Eukaryota; Metazoa; Chordata; Mammalia; Artiodactyla; Bovidae. The record is from RNAcentral.
GUUCUUGACCCACUUCAGCAUGUACAUUGUAGAUAUAUUAAGUCUAUUUAAUUAAGGGGGGAAGAUUAGGAGAGCAUUUGUUUCAGUGAACAGAGAGCAUAGAGGUUUCAGAAUAUGAGGACAGAGUUGGUGCUUGAACUUUAAUUGUGUUUGCACACAUUGUGAACAAAAAUGGUAAACGUACUAUUGAACAAAGAUUCAAGGAAUAACAUAGUUUAUCCUGAGUUUUUCCACUGGCAAAUCAGCAGGUAAGAAAUUCUAACAAGAAAGCUGGAGACUUCUUACAUCUGUGCCCUCAUGGAAAGAAAAUAAUACACUGUGUGUAUUGCUUUAAUAGGGGACCCACAGAAUAAGAAGAGAUGAUUCAUUUUCCUACCACAAAGGAUCACAAAUGUAACUUUUAGUGAACAUGUUCGACUAUUUCGUCAAUUUACUGGAAAAAUGAUCUAAUCUUUGUUUAAGCUUAUUUCAAGGGUCAUUGUAAAUAUUAGCUAAUUGUCAUUUUUAUUUUGGUGGGGGAAAUAUUACAUGAAGAUAAAGUAUUUCUAUUGUUCAUUGAAGUAUUUUGCCUGGAAUGGAGAUUUCUGAUGAUUAAUAAUAAUUUUAAAAAAUGUCUUAAGUGAACUUUUAAAUUCAGCUUUUCACAAUUUUCUAAUACAAGGUUAAACUCUAUUAUUCUUUCUUCAGGUGCUUAGAUCUAUAGUUUAACAUAUCUGAAGGUGAAUUUGGCAUAAAAUCAACAUUUUACUAUUGUCAGCUCUGCAGAGUCAAUAUAUCAUAUCCCCAGAAGAGGAGGUGCUUCAAACAUCAGUAAAAAAAACUGACAGAGAAGUGCUAAUUCCAGAAUUGUUCCAGUUGUUACUGACAUGUAGCCCGGAAAGGACUGAGACUGUCAGAUGUCAAGCCAGUUUCCACUAUUGACAAAUGGAAACCUUCACUGUUUGACUUGUAAAGAAGGGCAAACUGAUCAGAACACAAAAGCUGUCAAAAACCUGGAGAAUACGGAAUCAUCUCCCUGAGCAAAAAUUGGUGCUUCUCCGCUUCAAACU